CCAGCAAGGCAUCCACCUAAAUCUCACCCUGGGGGUUCCAAAUGAUCGAGUACCAUUGCAAAUUUUUGCCAAGCCAAAUCCUUCGCAGCACCGUGCCACGCCCAUGCCGGCACCCCUGCGACAUGCUUGCGAAUAAGUCCCUGACAAUUCUCCUCGACUCAAGCUGUCGACGUCCUCGUCGACGUCCAAGCCACUACUUGAACAUUAGUCACCACAGCCAAAUUUCCACUGCAGUAACUGAAAAUAUGGUUCCUCAAGUCAGAGACCCACGGUCUUGAUGUCCUUGAUCCUUUCUCCACCACUGAGAAUCCAUCAUCCACACCACACUG
RNAcentral lists this long non-coding RNA (329 nucleotides) under Elaeis guineensis (African oil palm). RNAcentral's name for it is "long non-coding RNA (EGUI_LNC070586)". The record is from RNAcentral. Lineage: Eukaryota; Viridiplantae; Streptophyta; Magnoliopsida; Arecales; Arecaceae.